GUGCCAGCAGCCGCGGUAAUUCCAGCUCCAAUAGCGUAUAUUAAAGUUGUUGUGGUUAAAAAGCUCGUAGUUGAACCUUGGGCCUGGCUGGCCGGUCCGCCUCACCGCGUGCACUGGUCCGGCCGGGCCUUUCCCUCUGUGGAACCCCAUACCCUUCACUGGGCGUGGCGGGGAAACAGGACAUUUACUUUGAAAAAAUUAGAGUGCUCCAGGCAGGCCUAUGCUCGAAUACAUUAGCAUGGAAUAAUAAAAUAGGACGCGCGGUUCUAUUUUGUUGGUUUAUAGGACCGCCGUAAUGAUUAAUAGGGACAGUCGGGGGCAUCAGUAUUCAACUGUCAGAGGUGAAAUUCUUGGAUCAGUUGAAGACUAACUACUGCGAAAGCAUUUGCCAAGGAUGUUUUCAUUAAUCAGGAACGAAAGUUAGGGGAUCGAAGACGAUCAGAUACCGUCGUAGUCUUAACCAUAAACUAUGCCGACUAGGGAUCGGACGGUGUUAUUCAUGACCCGUUCGGCACCUUACGAGAAAUCAAAGUGCUUGGGCUCCAGGGGGAGUAUGGUCGCAAGGCUGAAACUUAAAGAAAUUGACGGAAGGGCACCACCAGGGGUGGAGCCUGCGGCUUAAUUUGACUCAACACGGGGAAACUCACCAGGUCCAGACACAAUAAGGAUUGACAGAUUGAGAGCUCUUUCUUGAUUUUGUGGGUGGUGAUGCAUGACCGUUCUUAGUUGGUGGGGUGACUUGUCUGCUUAAUUGCGAUAACGAACGAGACCUUAACCUGCUAAAUAGCCCGCAUGCUCCGGCAGUGCGCUGGCUCUAGAGGGACUUCGCUCAGCGAAGGAAGUUGAGGCAAUAAACAGGUCUGUGAUGUC
RNAcentral lists this ribosomal RNA (870 nucleotides) under uncultured fungus. RNAcentral describes it as "SSU rRNA". It matches the Rfam family "Eukaryotic small subunit ribosomal RNA", at positions 564 to 1471 of the family's 1831-position model. Lineage: Eukaryota; Fungi. The record is from RNAcentral.